This 460-nucleotide ribosomal RNA is filed under the name uncultured bacterium. RNAcentral's name for it is "partial 16S ribosomal RNA". It matches the Rfam family "Bacterial small subunit ribosomal RNA", at positions 338 to 795 of the family's 1533-position model. The record is from RNAcentral.
CCUACGGGAGGCAGCAGUGAGGAAUAUUGGUCAAUGGACGAGAGUCUGAACCAGCCAAGUAGCGUGAAGGAUGACUGCCCUAUGGGUUGUAAACUUCUUUUAUAUGGGAAUAAAACGUUCCACGUGUGGGAUUUUGUAUGUACCAUAUGAAUAAGGAUUGGCUAACUCCGUGCCAGCAGCCGCGGUAAUACGGAGGAUCCGAGCGUUAUCCGGAUUUAUUGGGUUUAAAGGGAGCGUAGGUGGAUUGUUAAGUCAGUUGUGAAAGUUUGCGGCUCAACCGUAAAAUUGCAGUUGAAACUGGCAGUCUUGAGUACAGGAGAGGUGGGCGGAAUGCGUGGUGUAGCGGUGAAAUGCUUAGAUAUCACGAAGAACUCCGAUUGCGAAGGCAGUUCACUGGACUGCAACUGACACUGAGGCUCGAAAGUGUGGGUAUCAAACAGGAUUAGAUACCCCUGUAGUC